GAUGAAGAACGCAGCGAAAUGCGAUACUUGGUGUGAAUUGCAGAAUCCCGUGAACCAUCGAGUCUUUGAACGCAAGUUGCGCCCGAAGCCAUUAGGCCGAGGGCACGCCUGCCUGGGCGUCACACGUCGUUGCCCCCCCAUCUACUCCUUCGGGAUUGCGGGGGGCGGAUGAUGGCCUCCCGUGCGCCUCGUCGCGCGGUUGGCAUAAAUGCCAAGUCCUCGGCGACGCACGCCACGACAAUCGGUGGUUGCGAAACCUCGGUUGCCCGUCGUGUGCGGUCGUCGCGCAUCGAGGGCUCGAAAAAAUUGCCGGGCUCCGGCUCGGCUUUCAACGCGACCCCAGGUCAGGCGGGGUUACCCGCUGAAUUUAAGCAUAUCAAAGCGGAGGA
This 389-nucleotide unclassified non-coding RNA is filed under the name soil metagenome. RNAcentral's name for it is "partial contains 5.8S ribosomal RNA, internal transcribed spacer 2, and large subunit ribosomal RNA". The stretch from base 1 to 122 matches the Rfam family "5.8S ribosomal RNA", at positions 35 to 154 of the family's 154-position model. The record is from RNAcentral.